GGCCCAUUAGCUCAGUUGGUUAGAGCGUUGUGCUAAUAACACAAAGGUCGCGGGUUCAAUCCCCACAUGGGCCA
RNAcentral lists this transfer RNA (74 nucleotides) under Melitaea cinxia (Glanville fritillary). RNAcentral's name for it is "misc RNA ENSMCXG00005023450.1". It matches the Rfam family "tRNA". Rfam says of the family: Transfer RNA (tRNA) molecules are approximately 80 nucleotides in length. Their secondary structure includes four short double-helical elements and three loops (D, anti-codon, and T loops). Lineage: Eukaryota; Metazoa; Arthropoda; Insecta; Lepidoptera; Nymphalidae. The record is from RNAcentral.